AAGAGCCGGAUGAAGGGAGACUUUCAAGUCCGGUUCUGUGAGCGCCUGAGGGGGAGGUUCUCUUGGGCGACUCGAC
Endozoicomonas sp. (ex Bugula neritina AB1) is the source of this 76-nucleotide non-coding RNA. Lineage: Bacteria; Pseudomonadati; Pseudomonadota; Gammaproteobacteria; Oceanospirillales; Endozoicomonadaceae. The record is from Rfam.